Molecule: ribosomal RNA, 281 nt
Filed under: uncultured Streptococcus sp.
Lineage: Bacteria; Bacillati; Bacillota; Bacilli; Lactobacillales; Streptococcaceae
Description: partial 16S ribosomal RNA
Rfam family: Bacterial small subunit ribosomal RNA
Source: RNAcentral
CAACCCCUAUUGUUAGUUGCCAUCAUCCAGUUGGGCACUCUAGCGAGACUGCCGGUAAUAAACCGGAGGAAGGUGGGAUGACGUCAAAUCAUCAUGCCCCUUAUGACCUGGGCUACACACGUGCUACAAUGGUUGGUACAACGAGUUGCGAGUCGGUGACGGCGAGCUAAUCUCUUAAAGCCAAUCUCAGUUCGGAUUGUAGGCUGCAACUCGCCUACAUGAAGUCGGAAUCGCUAGUAAUCGCGGAUCAGCACGCCGCGGUGAAUACGUUCCCGGGCCUU